CCUACGGGAGGCAGCAGUGGGGAAUAUUGCACAAUGGGGGAAACCCUGAUGCAGCGACGCCGCGUGAGUGAAGAAGUAAUUCGUUAUGUAAAGCUCUAUCAGCAGGGAAGAGAAUGACGGUACCUGAGUAAGAAGCCCCGGCUAACUACGUGCCAGCAGCCGCGGUAAUACGUAGGGGUCAAGCGUUAUCCGGAUUUACUGGGUGUAAAGGGAGCGUAGACGGCAGUGCAAGUCUGGAGUGAAAGGCGGGGGCUCAACCCCCGGACUGCUCUGGAAACUGUACGGCUGGAGUGCAGGGGAGGUAAGUGGAAUUCCUAGGGUAGCGGUGAAAUGCGGAGAUAUUAGGAGGAACACCAGUGGCGAAGGGGGCUUACUGGACUGUAACUGACGUUGAGGCUCGAAAGCGUGGGGAGCAAACAGGAUUAGAUACCCGUGUAGUC
This 440-nucleotide ribosomal RNA is filed under the name uncultured bacterium. Its description in RNAcentral is "partial 16S ribosomal RNA". It matches the Rfam family "Bacterial small subunit ribosomal RNA", at positions 338 to 795 of the family's 1533-position model. The record is from RNAcentral.